Long non-coding RNA from Metopolophium dirhodum (rose-grain aphid), 959 nucleotides. RefSeq lists it as uncharacterized. The record is from RefSeq and is a predicted model, not a curated record. NCBI's taxonomy places the organism in Eukaryota, Metazoa, Arthropoda, Insecta, Hemiptera, Aphididae. The transcript has 4 exons.
AAUUCAUAAGAAACAAGAGUCAUAAGACUAGGUAUAGUAAUUAUGGGCCACGAAAUCAUGAUCAAAAGUUAUUUAUCUCACAACUGACUCAUUAAAAUGUUUUAAUUAAACUUCCAAAUAACAACCGUUAUCUCUUAUGCACAACCUAUCACUAAUUUAUUUCAAUUUAUUUAGUUCAUACUUUCAUAGGCUGUAAUGCUGUAGCUGUAUAAUAAAACAGAACCUAAUUAUUUUUUUUUUUAUUUUAAUACAAUUUUUAAUUGAUUGAGGCACAAAAAAUGUUCUUUAUUUGGGAAUGAGGAAGAAGAAACGAUUUAAGUAGUUCCUUUUUAACAAAAUGAGUGUGAACGUGAACUUAUUCCAAGCCUUCAACAUACUGGUCUCAUCUGUCCAUAGGAAAUAAAAUGGUGACAAUGUGACAUGUAAGUAGCUCUACAAAGUGGACAGCGGUAGUAUGGCCUGUGCUCAUUCGGAGGCAUUCUUGAAUAGCUAUCAUGACAAGCUCCACAUAGGCCUUGGUGUAAGCAUGGAUACGCUACUACUAUUGGUGGACUGUACAAACAUAUGUAACAUGUUUCCUCUACUAUUGACAAUUACUACUUACUUGUCAAAUCAACACGUUCAAUGUAAAUAACUGAUGGUAUCACAGACUGUUCGUUAGACACAUCUUCAUCUGAAUAAUCUGCAUCAGCAUCGAGAUUAUAAAAAACUAAAGACAAGCGAUUUAUUUAUUAGUAUAUUUUAUUGGAAAUCUUUAUAAGUAAUAUUAUAAUGAAAAAUCAUACGAUCUCGAGGAACGGGCAUUGCUGGUCUACGUGUGGUGCCUGUGGUAAAGCAGUAGCAGGGAGUACAGGAAUAGCUGGAAGUUGCAGUUCCCGAUGCUGAUCAACGGGGAGUGGUAAUAAAGCUAGUGGAGCUUGUGGAAAGACAGCAGCAGGAAGUAUUACAAUAGCUUGGUG